AUUGAACGCUGGCGGCAGGCCUAACACAUGCAAGUCGAGCGGUAGCACAGAGAGCUUGCUCUCGGGUGACGAGCGGCGGACGGGUGAGUAAUGUCUGGGAAACUGCCCGAUGGAGGGGGAUAACUACUGGAAACGGUAGCUAAUACCGCAUAACGUCGCAAGACCAAAGAGGGGGACCUUCGGGCCUCUUGCCAUCGGAUGUGCCCAGAUGGGAUUAGCUAGUAGGUGGGGUAACGGCUCACCUAGGCGACGAUCCCUAGCUGGUCUGAGAGGAUGACCAGCCACACUGGAACUGAGACACGGUCCAGACUCCUACGGGAGGCAGCAGUGGGGAAUAUUGCACAAUGGGCGCAAGCCUGAUGCAGCCAUGCCGCGUGUAUGAAGAAGGCCUUCGGGUUGUAAAGUACUUUCAGCGGGGAGGAAGGUGUUGAGGUUAAUAACCUCAGCAAUUGACGUUACCCGCAGAAGAAGCACCGGCUAACUCCGUGCCAGCAGCCGCGGUAAUACGGAGGGUGCAAGCGUUAAUCGGAAUUACUGGGCGUAAAGCGCACGCAGGCGGUCUGUCAAGUCGGAUGUGAAAUCCCCGGGCUCAACCUGGGAACUGCAUUCGAAACUGGCAGGCUUGAGUCUCGUAGAGGGGGGUAGAAUUCCAGGUGUAGCGGUGAAAUGCGUAGAGAUCUGGAGGAAUACCGGUGGCGAAGGCGGCCCCCUGGACGAAGACUGACGCUCAGGUGCGAAAGCGUGGGGAGCAAACAGGAUUAGAUACCCUGGUAGUCCACGCCGUAAACGAUGUCUAUUUGGAGGUUGUGCCCUUGAGGCGUGGCUUCCGGAGCUAACGCGUUAAAUAGACCGCCUGGGGAGUACGGCCGCAAGGUUAAAACUCAAAUGAAUUGACGGGGGCCCGCACAAGCGGUGGAGCAUGUGGUUUAAUUCGAUGCAACGCGAAGAACCUUACCUACUCUUGACAUCCAGAGAACUUUCCAGAGAUGGAUUGGUGCCUUCGGGAACUCUGAGACAGGUGCUGCAUGGCUGUCGUCAGCUCGUGUUGUGAAAUGUUGGGUUAAGUCCCGCAACGAGCGCAACCCUUAUCCUUUGUUGCCAGCGGUUAGGCCGGGAACUCAAAGGAGACUGCCAGUGAUAAACUGGAGGAAGGUGGGGAUGACGUCAAGUCAUCAUGGCCCUUACGAGUAGGGCUACACACGUGCUACAAUGGCGUAUACAAAGAGAAGCGACCUCGCGAGAGCAAGCGGACCUCAUAAAGUACGUCGUAGUCCGGAUUGGAGUCUGCAACUCGACUCCAUGAAGUCGGAAUCGCUAGUAAUCGUGGAUCAGAAUGCUACGGUGAAUACGUUCCCGGGCCUUGUACACACCGCCCGUCACACCAUGGGAGUGGGUUGCAAAAGAAGUAGGUAGCUUAACCUUCGGGAGGGCGCUUACCACUUUGUGAUUCAUGACUGGGGUG
Molecule: ribosomal RNA, 1462 nt
Filed under: Enterobacter sichuanensis
Lineage: Bacteria; Pseudomonadati; Pseudomonadota; Gammaproteobacteria; Enterobacterales; Enterobacteriaceae
Description: bacterial SSU rRNA
Rfam family: Bacterial small subunit ribosomal RNA
Source: RNAcentral